RNAcentral lists this ribosomal RNA (234 nucleotides) under uncultured bacterium. Its description in RNAcentral is "partial 16S ribosomal RNA". It matches the Rfam family "Bacterial small subunit ribosomal RNA", at positions 118 to 348 of the family's 1533-position model. The record is from RNAcentral.
UGAGGAACAUGACCUUCGGCGGGGGAGUAGCCGGCCCAACGGCCGGGUAAUACCGCGUACGACCACUUUGGGACAUCCCUAGGUGGUGAAAGCAGCAAUGCGCCGAUGGAGUGCCUCGCGGCCUAUCAGCUAGUUGGUGAGGUAACGGCUCACCAAGGCGACGACGGGUAGCUGGUCUGGAGGGGAUGGCCAGCCACAUUGGGACUGAGACACGGCCCAGACUCCUACGGAAGG